This is a non-coding RNA of Danio rerio (zebrafish), 74 nucleotides long. Lineage: Eukaryota; Metazoa; Chordata; Actinopteri; Cypriniformes; Danionidae. The record is from Rfam.
GUCUCUGUGGCGCAAUUGGUUAGCGCGUUAGGAUGUUAACUGAAAGGUUGGUGGUUCAAACCCACCCAGGGACA